RNAcentral lists this ribosomal RNA (782 nucleotides) under uncultured Tomentella. Its description in RNAcentral is "eukaryotic LSU rRNA". The stretch from base 204 to 358 matches the Rfam family "5.8S ribosomal RNA". The record is from RNAcentral. Lineage: Eukaryota; Fungi; Basidiomycota; Agaricomycetes; Thelephorales; Thelephoraceae.
CGUAGUUUAGUCUCUAGAAGUUGUUGCUCGGUCCUCGAAGUGGGGGCAUGUGCACGCUCUGUUCACACAUCCACUCACACCCUGUGCACUCUCUGUAGUUCUAUGGCCAGGGGGCCUGCCCUCCUGCUGUGGUUCUGCGUCUUUACACACACACUGUAACAAAGUCUCAUGGAAUGCAUGCCGCGUUUAACGCAAUACAAUACAACUUUCAGCAACGGAUCUCUUGGCUCUCGCAUCGAUGAAGAACGCAGCGAAAUGCGAUAAGUAAUGUGAAUUGCAGAAUUCAGUGAAUCAUCGAAUCUUUGAACGCACCUUGCGCCCUUUGGCCAUUCCGAAGGGCAUGCCUGUUUGAGUAUCAUGAACACCUCAACUCUUCAUGGUUUUCCAUGAUGAGCUUGGACUUUGGGGGACUUGCUGGCCUACAGUCAGCUCCUCUAAAAUAAAUCAGCUUGCCAGUGUUUGGUGGGUAUUGCAGGUGUGAUAACUAUCUACGCUUGUGGUUUUCCACCGAGUAACCUUCAGCAGUGGAGGUUCACUGGAGCUCACAGACGUCUCUCCUCAAUGAGGGACAGCCCUUUGAAUGUUUGAUCUCAAAUCAGGUAGGACUACCCGCUGAACUUAAGCAUAUCAAUAAGCGGAGGAAAAGAAACUAACAAGGAUUCCCCUAGUAACUGCGAGUGAAGCGGGAAGAGCUCAAAUUUAAAAUCUGGCGUGCCUCUGGUCGUCCGAGUUGUAGUCUGGAGAAGCGUCUUCCGUGCUGGACAGUGUACAAGGUCUCCUGA